AUUGUCGUCGAAGUAUGACAUAUAUCUAGACGCUUUUUAAGAAUAGAUAUAUUCAUAUUCGGGCAAAUCGGAGAGCAGUACGUGAUUGUUCUCCGAGAAGUGACGUACGAGGUUAAUCAUCGACCAUGCGAUCGUCGUAUAUUAAUUAGGAAGCCAAAUGAUUAGUGUAUGCAUCGAGGUCAACCGAAUCUAGCCAACUUUUAUACAACUCUCAUAGGCCGACACGCAAUAUUACACAUGUAUAUUUCCCAAAACGGAGAUGAAAACAUGAUCUGUUUUUCGGCCCAUAUCGAGAUACACAUAUAUGGCCUUAAUUACGCCGACUUGUGUAUAACAAAACUGUACUCGUCAUUGCCAGACUUCUCUUCGUUGCUUGAUGCUUGCUUGCUUCUGGUCGGUUAGCGAAACAGAGAUCAUUUUCUGGUCUUAGAAGCAACCGGUUCGUUAGCCGGAUCGAUAAGCAUUCACGGAAAGAUCGAGGCCAAUUGAAGAUUGUAUGCAUAAGCAUUCAAAAAUAUCGAUACAUCUCCAAUGUUGCUCCGGCCAGCAAGCAAUUAUAUCAUUCACAUGUCUUUUCUCUGGAUCAUGCUCGAAGUCUACGGUAGAGGAAAAAUGGUGUUGUGUUGCCAGAUUUGCUUUGGGAGGGUACGUACUAGUGACACUUUCCCCUCUAAAACUAAAUUCGUGAUGUCUUUAGCAUGGAGUGCAUGUGUGCAUAUGGUAAUGUACUAAUGUCAAUAGAGACGCCAUGCACAGAGCAAAACUCCAUUAUUGCUUCGGUCAACCAGCAAAACUGAACUCCCUCGCUGCAAAAUCCCAGUAUUUUUUUUCUUUUUUUUUAGAUCCCUCAACGACCGUGCUCAAACGUUGUUUCCAAAUUUCCUAGAUCGAUAAAAGGCAAUCGGGAAUUAAAUCAUGUGAGACUAGAGGAAUCUAGUAACAAGAUACUUUCGGAGUCCACGGAUCAAACCGACUCAUUGAAUUGAAUCUGAGGCGUUCGAUGAAUUAAGAGUAACUUGGCUCUUCUCAAGUUGAUCGGUGAAAAAUCAGGCAAAAACCAGAACAAUCGGAUCCAAACCCAUUCUCCACCAGCGCGGCGAACACAACACAAAAAAUACAUAUAGGUUUCAUGUGCUUCAAACAAGAGAAAGAUGUUUCCCUUUGACGGCAAUUUCUUGUCGAGUAAAAUGCAUCACGUGUCACUAUUCUUUCGCGAAGAUGCCAAGUCAGUUCCUAAUCUUUCAAAACGCAUGUUUAGGUCUUGAUUGUUUGUUAAGUGGUUCGUCCCAGGUUCCUCGGGUGUAUGCGU
RNAcentral lists this long non-coding RNA (1309 nucleotides) under Brachypodium distachyon (stiff brome). RNAcentral's name for it is "long non-coding RNA (BDIS_LNC004217)". The record is from RNAcentral. Lineage: Eukaryota; Viridiplantae; Streptophyta; Magnoliopsida; Poales; Poaceae.